GAUCCCAUCAAUGAGCCAUGUACACUAACAUGUUGGACGAGUCAACAGGCGGACGGAGGAAACACUUCUCGCUGCACGUUCCCUCAUUCCACCAAGUUGACAACAGGAACAUCUGUUCAAGAGCUUUUCAUCCCGCUCGAGGCCACGCCCCCGGCGAAGAGAGCGCAACGUGAUUGGUUGUUCACUCUUCUUCUUCGUCGAGCACCUUCUGCUCCUGAGGUUUCCCUCCGUCCUGCGACACGGCAGAUAUUAAGACGUGGCGGAGAAGCGACAGAACCGCGACCGAAUGAAACGCUGCAUUCUAAAGCUUUCAAAGUGUCAAAACACAGAAAACAUGUGAGACGUCACGUCGUCGUCGCCCGCCAUCUUCUGAAUCCCAGGACACGUGAGAACACGCACGCGUGGACCAAUGGACGAGCUCCUUCUCCUCUGGCUGUUGGCGCCAAACCCUCUGCUGCAGUGGUGACGUCAACCUGCCACUUCCGGCUACGAGCAGAUUCUCUCUGCGGUCUGCGGCACGAACCUGUUGCUGCCUCCGCUCUUCUCCCUCCUCAGCACCACCCCCCGUCCUGCACACAGGCCCCGCCCCUCUCCUGCGCACCGGGCCCCGCCCCUCUCCUGCGCACCGGGCCCCGCCCCGCCUCUCAUCAAACACACCCCGAGCUGAGAAUAUGAAAUUCAUAAUCACAGUUUGUAAAGUCUUUAGCCAACAGGCCUCAUGUUUACAUUAUUAAAUGUAGGCAGCAGAUGACUUACAACAUAAUGAAGAGCAAGUCGAUAUUAUGAUUAUAUAAACCCAGGACUUAAAACCACACACCAGUAAUUUAAAUUGUAUUUCUAUUAUUUUUAUUGUCAGUGUUAAUUUUCAGAAUUAUUUGGACUAAAAGAGAAAUUUCUCUCCGUUUCAACUAUUUUUAAUAAAACAAGACAGAUAUGAAUUUUUGGGGAGUUCAAGAUUUCGAAUACAUCAACCAAUAUAUUUAUAUCUAUAUAUGUAUAGAUAUAAAUAUAUCUAUCUAUCUAUAUAUAUAUAUAUAUUUGUA
RNAcentral lists this long non-coding RNA (1043 nucleotides) under Scophthalmus maximus (turbot). RNAcentral describes it as "lncRNA (ENSSMAG00000023560.1)". The record is from RNAcentral. Lineage: Eukaryota; Metazoa; Chordata; Actinopteri; Pleuronectiformes; Scophthalmidae.